UCGGCCAAUUUAUCUUUCAGC
Molecule: microRNA, 21 nt
Filed under: Pristionchus pacificus
Lineage: Eukaryota; Metazoa; Nematoda; Chromadorea; Rhabditida; Neodiplogasteridae
Description: ppc-miR-8293-5p
Source: miRBase by way of RNAcentral